ACUGGCUGCAGUAUACCCUAUUAGCUCUGUAAUAGGAGUGUGACACCAUUUUUUUAAGUGUGACUGCUGUCCAAAGAAAACAUUAUGACAAAUUUAAUGUAAAAAUUGAAUUGACUUUUAUGUGUGAUUCUAGAAGCAGGCAACACUUUUCUGUGUGAGAAUGAACAGAUGUUCUUUUGAGCUGGGGAGAGGCAAUUACUAGCUUUAUAGUCAGAAAAGGGCUGAAGAGAGCAGCAAUGUACUGGUCAUUUCAAAGUGACUUUAUUUAUAGCGUUAAAAAGAGGGGACACCCUUAUCAUGCUGCUCAGGUAAAUCACACCCCUCCUGACUGGUUGCUGUGAAUUACUGUUUUGUUUUGGAAACUAGCCUGUUUCAGGGUUCAGUGUGAUUCAUGGCACCUGGCAUGAGGAUUCCAUUCUGCUUUGGUUUGGUCUACUGGGAACUUAUGUAGGAGUUCAAUCCAAAAUUCUGGCUUCCCAUAACUUUGCUAACACUGCCAACAAAUUUUAAGCCACAUCCCUUUCCUUCUUCUUUACCUCUGAGUAAGUUGAUAAGAAGGACCAGUAUUCCCUCCUUUGCCUCCAGAAGGAAGGGAAAGCCACCUACAGGAACCAUAACUCCAGCCAUGCCUCGAUCACCAUAAAAACCCCACUGUUCCUGCUCUUUCAAGCCAUUUUUGGACCUGCUUUGAAGUCACCCUUCUCUCCCCAAAAAGCCUCAUUAUGUAAUAAACCUUUCCAUACCCUCUUGGCACAUGUGGGUGAUGUUAUCGUUUUUGACAUCCACACUACAUUUUGGGUGGAGGAUACAUUCUGAAUCUUCAGAGUGAAGUUCCAAAUCAUACUAUAUGUAGUUAUUUUGGUUUCUGGAUAUGAAAGUCAUAAUAGCAGUUAUUGCUUUCUACUUAUACUAUUCUGGCACUUUUUACAUCUUAACUCAUUUAAUCUUCUUAAGAGUUCUGUGAGAUAGAAACUAUGAUUAUUAUCCAGACUCUUGGUGAGUGUACCCAGCAGAGCUCAGGCAAAGAAAGGAAUUUGUGUAGAGUGGCCAGUAUAGUUGAUGAUGGGAGCUAGUGUUCAGAUGCCAAUAAAUGGAAAGAGAAAAGCAGAAAGCUAUGGACUCACAUUCAGAACAUGAGAGGAAGAGGAAGAGCCAGUCAACUGGUCUAAAUGUUAUGGAGUACCUAAUUAGGUGUUGGUUGGAUUAAAUAAUUGUUGUAAUAAGUUUAAAGGUGGUCUGACUGUCUAGAACAGAGCCUGAAAGCCUAGACAAACCUUUUCAGAUCGUUUCUCUUUGAUCUGAAAAGACCCUUUGUCAUAUGAUAUCCUUUUCUCAUUGCCCGAUCAUGAAGCAGUGGGCACCCCACUGUGGAGGGAAUUCUGAACAGAGGUCUGUGGCAUAGGGAAGCUCCCUUCCUUGGUAGGCAGAGAGGAUCAUUUGGGUGGAAGUUUGCACAUUUACACAGAAUUCCAGAAGGCUCUUGGUAUGGUCUUGAGGCUGGACUUUCCUUUGGAUGUUCAAUGUUGUCACACCCUUCCUAAUGACUACAGAUGCUACAGCUGAAAUCUGCUAGCAAAAAGAAGAUCAUGAUUGUGUUACUGGAACUGCCCAUGGGAACAUUUUUGGGUCAGUGAUCCAGGUUCUAUACCAGUGAUUAGAUGAUCAGAAAGGAAGAGUCAUUUCAGACAAGCAUGUGGCCUGUGGUUCUGCUGGUGGGUACUUUUAGGGCAGUUGGAAGGGCCUACGUGGAGCAUAUUAGCCAAGAAUGACAAUGAGAAAGUGGUAUUGUCUCUUCUUUAAAACAAUCCUCCCAGCUCUGAAGGGGCCUAAAACAGCAAGCGUGUUACAGAGCAGGAGGUGAAGGUGGGAUUAGAAAGGAGCAGACUCUGAAGAUGAUCCCAUGCAUCACUGUCAGAAGCUAGGGCUACUGAGAAUGGAGCUGCUCCUAUAUAGAAAACUCUCCUACCAUUCCCUUGAGAGGUAUUAGAAAUAAAACCAGGCUUUUGGAUUAGUUAAACAAUUCAAAGGAUGAAAACAACAGAGAGGGAAGAGCUAGAGCCAAGCUCAUCUUAAUCUUAAAUAACAAAAAUGUGACCUUAAUGGCAUUGAGUGUUGGGGAAGCAGGUCGUUCAGUGAUGAGGACAGAGAAGGCAGACUUAUAAUUAUCUUACUAUCACCUUCUGAACACUCACUGUGCACACUGCUUUGCACUUUCCUGAUACAUAGAUACUCAGUGUGUGAUAACUGCAGUUAAUAACAUUAUUAUUAAUAUUUUGUACCAACAUUAUUAUUAAUAUCAUUGUUGUUUAUAGUAGUUAAAACAUUACUGAGUGGCCAAAAAAGUCCGAGUAUACUAAUUAACAGCCACCUGCUUUUUGAAUCUCAUUCCUUAAGUAAACUGCACAGAACAAGAAGAGCCAUUGUUUGCGAUGAGGAAGGAAAGGUUCCUGCAAAAGGCAUCAUCACAGCACAAUGUUUUGCACCAGCUAUCCUUCCUGCAGCUGGAACCUGGCAGAGCAGGACAGCACACCCCCCACCCUCUGGGAUCAUUACUCACUGCUCCCCUGAUUAGUGGGAAGGUGGAUAUGUUUGUUUUUAUCUUCCAUACACAGCCCAACACUGGAAGACUCUGUCAAGGGAGAAAAAGGUAUUUGUAAGUAGGAGCAACCUGCUAAGUUUCUGGAUUUGGGGGGUGGGGGUAGGGUCUUUGUAGUUCUUUUUCUUCAUUACUUUCUCUAUCUCUCUCUCACGCUCCUCUUUACCACCCUCCACCCUAAAUUCACAUCAGGCAUUUCCACCUGUUCUCAUCUUUGUGACUUUGGAAGCAUGUCCUAGUCCCUAAGAUGUUCCACAGACAAUGAUUAGUAGUUUGGGGAAACUUGAGAUACCACAUACUCUUCCCAGAAAUUCACAAUGUAUUUCAUCAUGUACACAGCCCUGAAAACCAUUGGAUCCUGUUGGAUCUGGGGUGCCUUAGUCUCUUUGCUCACAAAACAUUAUUUUGUUCACAAUACUUAUUAAUAUCCCUCAGUACUAGGGUGCCAAGGGACCAGAUCAGGUAAUUUCCCAAAGAGAGAAAAAGUACAGAGGCACAGAGGCAUAAAAUAAUUUUGUUUAAGGGAGGCAUUGUGGAAACAUGCUAAGGGGGUGGAUAUGAGGGAAAUGUGUUGUGGCUUAUGCAGAGAAAUGGUUGUAUCACCAGGGAACAGCUCCGGAAGGUACCUAAAUUGCCAGUCUGGACACAAGUAAGGAAGAAGGAUAAAAAUGAAUUAAAUGGUUCUAGGUCCCAAUAAGCCUCAUAUGUUUUUCUCAUGCAGGAACCAUAAACUGGUAGAUUGUAGUAGGUAUGCUUAGAAGUGAAAUUAAAGAGGAGACCUGAGUUCUAAGCUAGGUAUUUGAAUAUUUUAUUCCCUUCAGUGCUUCCUUUUGUCACACACAUCACUGUACAAAUAUUGGCCAGGAUUCUCUAUAGAAUCAACAAAAUUUAAUAUGUUGUUUACAACCUAGGAAACCAAGGAAAAGCCAGUGGUGUAAAUUAGCAAUUCACUCUGAGACCCAAGGGCCAGGAUGAGUCCCCACUUAUCUAAGUCCCAGAGUCUAGAGGUUCAAGAACCAAGAUGUCUGAUGUCCCAGGGCAGGAGAAGAUGGAUAUUCCAGCUCAAGAAGAGAGAAACUGUUUGGUUCCUUUGGCCUUUUUGUCCUACUCAGGCCUUCAAUGGAUUGUAUGGUGCCCACUGACAUAGGCGAGGACACAUCUUCUUGACUUGGUCUACUAAAUCAAAAGCUAAUCUUUUCUGGAAACCUCCUCAAAGACACUCAGAAAUAAUGUAUUAUUAACUAGUUAUCUGAUCAUUCUUCAGCCCAACCAAGUGCACACAUAAAAUAAACCAUCAUUGUAUAUAGAAAUGGAAUGCUGGCUUCCAGGACUUGGGAGAGCAAUAUCUCAAGCCUUCUGUGGCUCAACAGUGUGUCCAGUUGUGGUUGUGAAGUGCCACACUAGGUGGCAGGGAGUAAGAGAAGAGCUUUAAUCAGCAAGUGACCUGAUUAGGGUAGCAUAGAGGGCUCCGUGGGCUUUCACUGAGACCACUGUGCAUGGUCCCUGCCACAGGAUCUUCGGCACAUUCUUUCCUUCUGCCCAGAGUUGGUCCUUCUAGCAUCCCCGUCCUCACCUCACUGUGCCCACUCAUCCUUAGAUUACAGCUUAGCCAUCACUUUCUCAAAGAAGCUGCCCCCAUCCCUCAAAAUCUUCUUUCUCGUGUUUUCUUAUGUAUUUUCUUGACACUAAUUUUAAUUGAUAGCUAUGUGUUUGUGUUAUUAUAUGAUCUAUUCUAGCUAGACUAUUUGUCAUGCUGUUUCUACAAUUGGAAAGCACAGCUUUCACACUGCCACAUGCCACAUAGCUAUCUUUCAAAGUCCAUCCUGAAUUUUAUUUCUCAGCAGUGAACACACCUGGAAACACUUGUGCCCUUUUUUCAGGUCCAACAUAAUAUGGACUACAGACAUUUCUCGUGGCUUUAUAAAAUAAGUAAUCAGGAAUUUCUGCCUUCCACUGUUGUUUUCUGAGACUCAACCCCCAUUUCCCCUGCCCCACUCACAGUUACUAUAGGGUCAUCCAUGUUAGUGCAGUGGGACUCCACCUGAAGUUUCAUUUGCUUGGUCCUGGGAGGUGAAUGCUUGAGGUCUAGACCAAUAAGUUCCUUCCUUCAGAUUUUUAGGUUUAAGUUAGAAUGAGUUAUAUAAAUUUGUCCAAUACCACAAGUUAUUAGACACAGCAUUGGGAGACAAAAGGGUCAAAGCUUCACUCUAUGGAAAUCAUGAUCUUACAAUAUAAAAGAAGAAUAAAGCUGUACACCAAGAACAGCAGAUCCAAGAUGGUGUCCUAUCAACUUUGUCAACUUGAGCCCCAGAUAUAUUCAACCUUCAGCCAGCUUUUGAGCUGUGACAUAGUGAUGGAGAGUCCCAAUAAACUCCACAUUUGUAUUUUUGGUUUAAGAUGAGUUUCUCUCACUUUGUCACCAAGAUUACAAAUUAAUACAUAUUGAACACUUUUAAGAGCACUCUGGAAUAGAAUUUAUCGCUUCAAUUGAUUAUUAGAGUGGAUAAAACCACCAUGAAACAUUCCAGAUUUUAACAUAUCAAUUCUAAAAUGUACUUAUCUGACAUAUCCAUGGAGCAACAGUACAUUCUUAUGGAAACAUUAUGAACAUUGCAAUCAGACUUGGGUUUGAUGCCAACUCCAUGUUUCCAAGCAGAAAUUUUGACUCUGGCAAGUUAACUGCACUAUUCUGAGCCUUUCUGUUGCAUGGAAGUAAUAAUACCUAUGUUAGAGACUUUUAUCACAUGGCACAAUGAAUAAUGCAUUAAAAGAUAACACCAAAUCUGGCUCAUCAUGCCCUUGGUAUUUCACAUUUUGUUGAAUCCACUGAUUGCAAUAUGCAUCAUAUUUGCUACAAUAUACUAUGUACUACAGAGAAAGGAAAAGCUGGUUAAAUUAUGAAAAACCAUUAAUUACAUGAGGCAUUCUUAUUUCAGAGCUGUUGAACUAUGUAAAGAAGUGCGCCUUAGGAUCUAGGAAAUAGAGUAUUUUUAUUGAACACAGAUGAUCUAGGCAAUAAUGUAAAGCACUGGUGAUAUAGCAAUGAAUAAGGCUGAUUUUGUCCCUUAAGGUGAUGAGAAUCAAAUGGUUGGUAUGUUUAAGAUUUUUUUUAAAGGACACCGAAUAAUCUGUGAGUUUAUCACAAAGAUAGGGUCAAGAAGUGAAGCAGGGUGGAAAUACUAGACUUGAAUCCCACUAUAUGUCAUUAGAUCUUACAGCAGUUGUAUUUUCAUGCUAUGCAUAGAAUUCAAAACAAAUUGUCUGCUUACAAUUAAAAUCCUGCUGAGUUUCCAAGAGGCCAGACCCCAGGGAGCUAUUUGAACACCAUGUCUUAUCCACAAGGAUGCAAUUCUAUUUUUAAAGGACAAUUAAAGGGUUUCCUCGUAGGUUAGGCUAAACUUUCUUCAAAAUACAUGAAGGAAAUACCUGGAAAAGAGAAAUUUAAGGCUUGUUUUCAUCCUGUUACUUGAGAACAAUUUCCAAAAAGAACUGAAUUUUCUUUGUUAAAAAUCAGAUUCGGAAGGCCUGUGUUUUUUAACGCUUUACAGUCUUGGUAGAAGAGAACAAAGACCUCUAGGAAACUCAUUGUAACAGUCACCAAAUUUCCUCAUUAAAUAACCAUUUAUUGGUCUAUUAAAUCUGAUCUGAACUGUAAUACUUUGUGGUAAAUUUUUUCUGCAACGUAAGUUGCUCAGUUAGCUCUUCCUAAAGCAUCUACUCCCUUAGAGAGAGCCUCGACAUUAUCCCAGAAAAGGCAAAUGUGUUUGCCUUCCUGGACAUCUCUAUUAGAAAGGGAUUCAGUUGGGAAGACUCUAAACAGAACAUUUUCUUUGCCUCAUUUUCUUAGGAAGACUUUAAAAUGGUUUUAGGGCUUUCAUGUAAUUAUCAAGUAUUUAGUGCGGGCCAGGCACUGUCUCAGAACUGGAGGAUGAAGAUACAUGUUUUCUCUGCCCUCGAGGCACGCACUGUCCAGUGGGAGAGAGAGAUCCAUAAGGACAGCAGUAAGUAGGAGGUGACUUCAGGAGCCCUCAACACAAGGGCAUCAGCCAUGGGGAGAGGAAGCAAACCAUCUGCAUGAGUCAAAUGCACCAUCAGGUACCUAGAAAGAACCAGAACUCACUGGUACUUUAAUGAUAAGAUUGUAAUGAAGGGAGUUCUUACAGAAUGUAGGUAGAGUGAAGGGAGCAAAUGAUAGGUUUUGAGUCACCCUGAGAGUUCUAACAAAUGGUGAGGAGCAGUUAUUCACUCAGAAUAAAAAAGCAAGGAAAGUGUAGUGUAGUUGGUCAGCACUGGCGCUCUGGAGAAGCACCUUUUCAGUAAGGGCUGCAGAAAAGGGUCACAGUCGCCACCAGAGAAAAGCCACAGCAGCAAGGCAGAAGCAGGAAAGGAAAGCCCCAGCCUUCCUUUGCUCUGGUUUUCUAAUUUUCCAUUGAUGGUUCCCACUGCCUGAACCAAAUGGACAUCAGAUUGCCAAUGUGGUGCAAUCUGAUGCCAAGGAAGGGCAUUAAAUGGACUUGGGCAAGAGGGCAAAGAGAGAGCAGCCAGUGCAUCUGCCAUCUAUAAUUUUUCAAGGUUCCUGAGUGUGGGUGCAUGUGCAUGCACAUGCACGCGUGCACGUGCGUGCACACACACACACACACACACACACACACCAUUCAUUUAGCAAACUCUUGUCAAGUUCCUACCAUGUGAAUAACAGAGAUAAGCUACUGGAGACAGAGUAUUUGGCUUUGGAGGUGAAAUAGUAAACAAAACAAAUACUACAUUUACCCCCAUAGGCCUUCUAGACUAGUGGGAAAGACUGAAUAAAGUAAAUAAUCUAUGAAGCAUAACCAGCUCUGUGUUAAGGGGAGGUCAGGAAGCUAUAGGAGUACAUGGGACAGGGGAGUAGCUAAGGGAAUCUGGAGGCCACAGCAUGCUCCCCUGAGAAUGUGAUGUUUCAGCUGAGACCUGGAAGUGAAUAGAAGUCAAGCAGCUGGAGGAGCAAGUGACAAAGAGGGAAGCAUUCCUGGUAGAAGGAACACAGGUGCCAAGGCCCAGAGGCAGCAAUGUGUCAAGUUCAUGGGUCUAAGAGGAGUUCAGUGGGCUUGGAGCCUGGAAUACGGAGAAGUGUUGAGAGGUGAGGCUGGAGUGACAGUUCGUGAUGUAGUGUUUUGUGUCAUGUGGCUCUAGGCUUUGAUCCCAAAGUCAGAGAGGAACAAGACAAACAUUUUGCUGAGGUUUUUCUGAGGUUUGAAAGAUCACUUUGGAUCCCAAUCAAACUAUUUCCUAACCACAGCAAAUGUUACAAGACUCAGGGUCAGAAUGAUGAACAAGUACCAAAAUGGUGCCAGCAAUUUUAAGAUGGUACUGGUGAAAUGAAGAAUUUACAGGUGAAGUUAGCUUUAAAUUCCCAUAUCCAGCCUUCCUCCCAAUUGUUUUGUCCUUGCUGGAAGGCUGCAAGUCUGGGUAGUUUCUGCCUAACCAAAAUAACUUGUUUUCUCUGUUAACAUUUAGUAACACAUGAACAUAGUUUGGGCUCACCAUGUCCUCCGUAGACUGGUAAUUGAAGUACAAACUGAUAUAAACUAUUUGGAAAGCACUUUUGUGAUAUGUUUUAAGAACUUCCAAAAUGUCUAUGUUGUUUAAUCCAGGAAUUUCACUAAUAGUAUGCUAGUACAUAUAGGAAAUAUAUUGCAUGCUUUACGCUUAUUAAGACAGUUAAACGUCAUCACACUAUGAGGUAGAUGCUAUUAUUGUUCCCAUUUUACUGAUGAGAAUAAAUGAAAAGAAGAAUUGAUAUGUUUUGCCCAACUUGCACAGCUAGUAAUUUGCAGAACUAGUAUUUAAACCAAGGCAGUCUGAUUUUAGAGUUGGCACAUGUUUACACCAUACUACAUUGCCUCUAUUUUAGUAUAUGUGCUGCCAAAGUGAGCAUUAAGCUGCCUCUAUUUAUUUAGGCAGAUAUUUGGGUUAAGAUCUAUGUACAAAGAUGUGCACUACCACAUUAUUUAUCUUAGAGAACAUCUUGAUACUUUUAAAGGUAUGAUUUACUUGCAACAGUGUGUACAACUCUUAAGUGUUUGGUGCAAUACGUUUUUUAUAUGAAUGUAUUGUACAGUUACACCCAGAUCAAUUUAUAGUGCAUUUUAGUAGCACAGUGGACUUUCACCGCCUCUUCCUCAUCAAUAACUCAGAGUAUUCACUAUCUAACUUCCACUGACAUAGACAUUUUGCCUAUUCAAGGAACUUCAUAUAAAUAAAUAGAAACUCUUUUGUGAUUGAUUUAUUAAACUUAAGGUUUGUAAAGCUGAUUAAUUUUCUGGUAUAUUUAAAUAGUUUUUUCUACUACUGUGUUUUUUAUUCCAUUGUGUAAAUCUAUUCUUCUUUUGAAGGAUGAUUGCCCUGUUUCCAGUUUGAAGCAAGUAUAAGAAAAGUUGCUGAAUAACUUUGUUCAUAUCUUUAAUAGAUAUGUAUUUUCUUUUAUGUUACUACAUACCAGGAUUGGAAUUGUUAUGUCCCAGUUUUAAUUGAUAAUGAAAAACAGUUUUCCAAAAUACUUGGACAACUUAUUAUGACACUAUUAAUAUGUGAAUGUUUCAGUUAUUCUGUAUCUUUGACAACACUUGAUAUAGUCAUUCAUACUGAUUUUAGUUAUUCUGGUGGGUCUGUAGUGGAAUUCAUUUGUGGUUUUAUCUUGAAUUUUCCUUAUAACUAUUUUUUCCCUAUAAAAUUGAGCACCUUCCCAUGUACUUGGCCAUAUGAUUGGCUUUUUUAAUGCAGUAACUGUUCAAGUAUUUUGCCUUUAUAAAAUUGGGCUGCUUGUAUUGUCUAACUGAUUUUUGGAAGGAAUUAUUUACAUUCUUGGUAUAUAAAUUUGUUGGAUAUGUGCGUUAUAAAUACUACCUUCCAGUCUGUGUU
Heterocephalus glaber (naked mole-rat) is the source of this 9496-nucleotide long non-coding RNA. The record is from Ensembl. Lineage: Eukaryota; Metazoa; Chordata; Mammalia; Rodentia; Bathyergidae.